GCUUCCUUAGCUCAGUCGGUAGAGCGCGAGUCUCAUAGUCUGACCACGUGUAGUGGGUAAUCUCGAGGUCGCAAGUUCGAGCCUUGCAGGGAGCA
This 95-nucleotide transfer RNA is filed under the name Dendrothele bispora CBS 962.96. RNAcentral's name for it is "Dendrothele bispora (strain CBS 962.96) tRNA". It matches the Rfam family "tRNA". Rfam says of the family: Transfer RNA (tRNA) molecules are approximately 80 nucleotides in length. Their secondary structure includes four short double-helical elements and three loops (D, anti-codon, and T loops). The record is from Rfam by way of RNAcentral. Lineage: Eukaryota; Fungi; Basidiomycota; Agaricomycetes; Agaricales.